UGGGGAAUAUUGGACAAUGGGGGAAACCCUGAUCCAGCAAUGCCGCGUGGGUGAUGAAGGCCUUCGGGUUGUAAAGCCCUUUCGGCGGGGACGAUGAUGACGGUACCCGCAGAAGAAGCCCCGGCUAACUUCGUGCCAGCAGCCGCGGUAAUACGAAGGGGGCUAGCGUUGUUCGGAAUUACUGGGCGUAAAGGGCGCGUAGGCGGCUUGUCUAGUCGGGCGUGAAAAGCCUGGGCUUAACCCGGGAACUGCGCUCGAUACUGAUAGGCUUGAGUGUGGGAGAGGAUGGUGGAAUUCCCAGUGUAGAGGUGAAAUUCGUAGAUAUUGGGAAGAACACCGGUGGCGAAGGCGGCCAUCUGGACCACAACUGACGCUGAGGCGCGAAAGCGUGGGGAGCAAACAGG
Molecule: ribosomal RNA, 404 nt
Filed under: uncultured bacterium
Lineage: Bacteria
Description: bacterial SSU rRNA
Rfam family: Bacterial small subunit ribosomal RNA
Source: RNAcentral